Lates calcarifer (barramundi perch) is the source of this 1107-nucleotide long non-coding RNA. RefSeq lists it as uncharacterized. The transcript is spliced from 2 exons. NCBI's taxonomy places the organism in Eukaryota, Metazoa, Chordata, Actinopteri, Centropomidae. The record is from RefSeq and is a predicted model, not a curated record.
ACCAGCAGGAGGAGCUGUGACCUCUACCAGCUGAGCACUCACAUACCAGGGUUCAUUUAGAAAAUGGAUGAAAUAAAAUACACAACAACCGACCAAUCAGCGCUGAGUAUCGCCUCUGGUAUGUUACAGUGCGACAGCAGAGCUCCUCUUCUUCAUAAUAGGGCAGGUUGUCAUGUCAUGUAAAAUUUCUCAGUCUAAUUAGACAUUAGAUCAGUCUGCGAGAGCAUGAGGCAAUUAACAGUGUAGGAGGAUGUAUCUAUGGGCGAUGAGAGAGGUGGAGGACAGGACAUUUAAUUUCUCUUCAGCAGGGUAUUUAAAGUCUCCUCCAGUGAGUGGAUGGGUGAUAUCUCUACUGAGGACUUCUGACAAGGUAAUUGAAAAUCACAAGUCAGCUCUGUCUGAGAAAAUGGACGACAUCAGCCUUUGAAUGUGGAUUUGAACUCAUCCAACACCUGCCCUGUUCACCUGAUCCAGCCCCUCAGAUUACUGCCUCGUCCCCCAGAUGAAAAGGUAGCUCAGGGGUCGCCCUUUUGACAGUGACGAUGAUGUGAUCACUGCUGUGGACCAUUUUCUCAGAGCUGACGUGAUUUUUAAGCAAGGCCUGUGGGAGUGGAACAUCAUAGAACAGGCAUCACAGACCAGUCAGCUGAUCAUGAUGUUUUGACUCCACAAUAGCAUUAAAAGAAAAAUAUGACACAUGUAUUAACAUGUAGACGUGAACAGUUUGGCUGUAAAGUGCAAGUGUUGGAGUGUUAAUUCCUUGGUUGGUAUGAAGGAUAUUUUAAAUAUAUUUGGGGUUUUUGCAAGAGUUACACUAGAAGAGGAUGCCCCCGUUUCUGCUGAAAAGACUGCUAAACGUGCAAAAAUGCACCUUCAAUCACAGGUUAUUGAUUAGCACAAAACAUUCCUUUAAAAAAAACUUCACCCUAACAUUUGUGGUACCUAUAGAUAUGUGAACUCAGAAGUUCAAACCUUCUUUACAUUGAAUCCUGUUUUAUUUCAGAGUAGAAACUUUCAGACUGAAGCUUCUCAUUAGAACCACAAGAUUAAAGUUUAUAUGAAGGCAGAGUUCAGAGUUGGAGCCUCACGAGCUCUGCUGCCAAUCAA